CAAGUCACCAGCAUAUAAAAUUCAGUAAUAUCCAAAACCAUGAUGACGUGCAGGGAACUCCAAAGUAAUUUUUUAUUUCUUGCCACCAAAUUUUUUGUGUUGAUAAGAUGAAGCAUAUCAAGUAUUAAUGGACCAUCAACUACCACUCUCAAACACUGCACUACCUAUAUAUUGGCUUGUUAUCUGGCUACCCACCCACAAACCCAAAACCCUAGCUAGUUCAUGGCAUCCACCGAUAAGCCUGACCCAGAAGCCGCCACCAAGUCUGAGGUGUCACCCCUGCCACCUCCUCCUCCUAAGCGUGUCGACUAUUUUGCCAUUGAUGUUGGUCUUAGGGUCUUAUUGUUUGCUGCCACCCUAACUGCGCUCGUGGUCAUGUCCACUGCCAAGCAAACGGAGUUGGCUUCUGUGCCAGGAUCACCUGUCAGAGUGCCUGUUAAAGCCAAAUUCAAUCACUCGCCGGCCUUCAUAUACU
RNAcentral lists this unclassified non-coding RNA (475 nucleotides) under Hevea brasiliensis (rubber tree). The record is from RNAcentral. Lineage: Eukaryota; Viridiplantae; Streptophyta; Magnoliopsida; Malpighiales; Euphorbiaceae.